This 450-nucleotide ribosomal RNA is filed under the name uncultured bacterium. Its description in RNAcentral is "partial 16S ribosomal RNA". It matches the Rfam family "Bacterial small subunit ribosomal RNA", at positions 354 to 796 of the family's 1533-position model. The record is from RNAcentral.
GUGGGGAAUCUUCCGCAAUGGACGAAAGUCUGACGGAGCAACGCCGCGUGAGUGAAGAAGGUUUUCGGAUCGUAAAGCUCUUUCGUUAGGGACGAACGUGCUCUUUGUGAAUAAUGAGGAGUAAUGACGGUACCUAAAUAAGAAGCCACGGCUAACUACGUGCCAGCAGCCGCGGUAAUACGUAGGUGGCAAGCGUUGUCCGGAAUUAUUGGGCGUAAAGCGCGCGCAGGCGGGAUAUCAAGUCUGUCUUAAAAGUGCGAGGCUCAACCUCGUGAGGGGACAGAAACUGGGAUGCUUGAGUGUCGGAGAGGAAAGUGGAAUUCCAAGUGUAGCGGUGAAAUGCGUAGAGAUUUGGAAGAACACCAGUGGCGAAGGCGACUUUCUGGACGAUGUCUGACGCUGAGGCGCGAAAGCUAGGGGAGCGAACGGGAUUAGAUACCCCGGUAGUCC